UAACGGCGAGUGAAGCGGCAACAGCUCAAAUUUGAAAUCUGGCCUUGUGCCCGAGUUGUAAUUUGUAGAGGAUGCUUCUGGCGACGCGCCUUCCGAGUUCCCUGGAACGGGACGCCAUAGAGGGUGAGAGCCCCGUCCGGUCGUGCGCCUAGCCUCUGUGAAGCUCCUUCGACGAGUCGAGUAGUUUGGGAAUGCUGCUCUAAAUGGGAGGUAUACGUCUUCUAAAGCUAAAUACCGGCCAGAGACCGAUAGCGCACAAGUAGAGUGAUCGAAAGAUGAAAAGCACUUUGAAAAGAGGGUUAAAUAGUACGUGAAAUUGCUGAAAGGGAAGCGCUUAUGACCAGACUUGGGCGCGGCGGAUCAUCCGGCGUUCUCGCCGGUGCACUCCACCGCCCCAGGCCAGCAUCAGCUCGCGCCGGGGGACAAAGGCUUCGGGAAUGUGGCUCCCUCGGGAGUGUUAUAGCCCGUUGCGUAAUACCCUGGUGCGGGCUGAGGUCCGCGCUCUGCAAGGAUGCUGGCGUAAUGGUCAU
RNAcentral lists this ribosomal RNA (530 nucleotides) under Stanjemonium dichromosporum. RNAcentral's name for it is "LSU rRNA". It matches the Rfam family "Eukaryotic large subunit ribosomal RNA", at positions 84 to 641 of the family's 3401-position model. Lineage: Eukaryota; Fungi; Ascomycota; Sordariomycetes; Hypocreales; Bionectriaceae. The record is from RNAcentral.